GUCGUCAGCUCGUGUCGUGAGAUGUUGGGUUAAGUCCCGCAACGAGCGCAACCCUUAUUACUAGUUGCCAGCAUUUAGUUGGGCACUCUAGUGAGACUGCCGGUGACAAACCGGAGGAAGGUGGGGACGACGUCAAAUCAUCAUGCCCCUUAUGACCUGGGCUACACACGUGCUACAAUGGAUGGUACAACGAGUUGCGAGACCGCGAGGUUUAGCUAAUCUCUUAAAACCAUUCUCAGUUCGGAUUGUAGGCUGCAACUCGCCUACAUGAAGCCGGAAUCGCUAGUAAUCGCGGAUCAGCAUGCCGCGGUGAAUACGUUCCCGGGA
This 327-nucleotide ribosomal RNA is filed under the name uncultured Lactobacillus sp. RNAcentral describes it as "bacterial SSU rRNA". It matches the Rfam family "Bacterial small subunit ribosomal RNA", at positions 1051 to 1378 of the family's 1533-position model. Lineage: Bacteria; Bacillati; Bacillota; Bacilli; Lactobacillales; Lactobacillaceae. The record is from RNAcentral.